GACGAACGCUGGCGGCGUGCUUAACACAUGCAAGUCGAACGGAAAGGCCCUGCUUGCAGGGUACUCGAGUGGCGAACGGGUGAGUAACACGUGGGUGAUCUGCCCUGCACUUCGGGAUAAGCCUGGGAAACUGGGUCUAAUACCGGAUAGGAGCCAUUUUUAGUGUGAUGGUUGGAAAGUUUUUUCGGUGUAGGAUGAGCUCGCGGCCUAUCAGCCUGUUGGUGGGGUAAUGGCCUACCAAGGCGGCGACGGGUAGCCGGCCUGAGAGGGUGGACGGCCACAUUGGGACUGAGAUACGGCCCAGACUCCUACGGGAGGCAGCAGUGGGGAAUAUUGCACAAUGGGCGCAAGCCUGAUGCAGCGACGCCGCGUGGGGGAUGACGGCCUUCGGGUUGUAAACUCCUUUCGCUAGGGACGAAGCUUUUUGUGACGGUACCUAGAUAAGAAGCACCGGCUAACUACGUG
This 465-nucleotide ribosomal RNA is filed under the name uncultured bacterium. RNAcentral's name for it is "partial 16S ribosomal RNA". It matches the Rfam family "Bacterial small subunit ribosomal RNA", at positions 28 to 507 of the family's 1533-position model. The record is from RNAcentral.